RNAcentral lists this ribosomal RNA (482 nucleotides) under uncultured bacterium. Its description in RNAcentral is "bacterial SSU rRNA". It matches the Rfam family "Bacterial small subunit ribosomal RNA", at positions 30 to 506 of the family's 1533-position model. The record is from RNAcentral.
UUGAACGCUGGCGGCAUGCCUUACACAUGCAAGUCGAACGGCAGCGCGGACUUCGGUCUGGCGGCGAGUGGCGAACGGGUGAGUAACAUAUCGGAACGUGCCAGGAAGUGGGGGAUAACUAGUCGAAAGAUUAGCUAAUACCGCAUACGCCCCGAGGGGGAAAGUGGGGGAUCGCAAGACCUCACGCUUGCUGAGCGGCCGAUAUCUGAUUAGCUAGUUGGUAGGGUAAAAGCCUACCAAGGCGACGAUCAGUAGCUGGUCUGAGAGGACGACCAGCCACACUGGGACUGAGACACGGCCCAGACUCCUACGGGAGGCAGCAGUGGGGAAUUUUGGACAAUGGGGGCAACCCUGAUCCAGCAAUGCCGCGUGAGUGAAGAAGGCCUUCGGGUUGUAAAGCUCUUUUGUCCGGGAAGAAAUCCCAUCUGUUAAUACCGGGUGGGGAUGACGGUACUGGAAGAAUAAGCACCGGCUAACUACGU